AACGCACAUUCGCGGAUCACCUUUCAUACCUCCCUGUUGGACUUCGGCCGAGCUUUGAGCUCGGCCUUUUUU
This 72-nucleotide non-coding RNA is filed under the name Antarctobacter heliothermus. RNAcentral's name for it is "Singlet oxygen resistance RNA X". It matches the Rfam family "Singlet oxygen resistance RNA X". Rfam says of the family: SorX (RSs2461)like SorY is a singlet oxygen induced sRNA that counteracts oxidative stress by targeting mRNA for a transporter in Rhodobacter. It also has an impact on resistance against organic hydroperoxides. Lineage: Bacteria; Pseudomonadati; Pseudomonadota; Alphaproteobacteria; Rhodobacterales; Roseobacteraceae. The record is from Rfam by way of RNAcentral.